This 253-nucleotide ribosomal RNA is filed under the name uncultured bacterium. RNAcentral describes it as "partial 16S ribosomal RNA". It matches the Rfam family "Bacterial small subunit ribosomal RNA", at positions 524 to 776 of the family's 1533-position model. The record is from RNAcentral.
UACAGAGGUCUCAAGCGUUGUUCGGAUUCAUUGGGCGUAAAGGGUGCGUAGGUGGCGCUGUAAGUCGGGUGUGAAAUUUCGGAGCUUAACUCCGAAACUGCAUUCGAUACUGCGGUGCUUGAGGACUGGAGAGGAGACUGGAAUUCAUGGUGUAGCAGUGAAAUGCGUAGAGAUCGAGAGGAACACCAGUGGCGAAGGCGAGUCCCUGGACAACUCCUGACGCUGAGGCACGAAAGCUAGGGGAGCAAACAGG